Molecule: signal recognition particle RNA, 100 nt
Filed under: bovine gut metagenome
Description: Bacteroidales small SRP
Rfam family: Bacteroidales small SRP
About the family: The non-coding component of the signal recognition particle in Bacteroides
Source: RNAcentral
GCCGGGUAAGUCUUAUACGACCAGCUCCCUCUGAAUCCUCCAGGUUCGGAAGAAAGCAAAGGUAGGAGGUUGUAGCGGUGCGAUAUAAGUAGCUUACCCU